RNAcentral lists this ribosomal RNA (515 nucleotides) under uncultured bacterium. RNAcentral describes it as "partial 16S ribosomal RNA". It matches the Rfam family "Bacterial small subunit ribosomal RNA", at positions 28 to 523 of the family's 1533-position model. The record is from RNAcentral.
GAUGAACGCUGGCGGCGUGCCUAAUACAUGCAAGUCGAGCGAAUGGAUUAAGAGCUUGCUCUUAUGAAGUUAGCGGCGGACGGGUGAGUAACACGUGGGUAACCUGCCCAUAAGACUGGGAUAACUCCGGGAAACCGGGGCUAAUACCGGAUAACAUUUUGAACCGCAUGGUUCGAAAUUGAAAGGCGGCUUCGGCUGUCACUUAUGGAUGGACCCGCGUCGCAUUAGCUAGUUGGUGAGGUAACGGCUCACCAAGGCAACGAUGCGUAGCCGACCUGAGAGGGUGAUCGGCCACACUGGGACUGAGACACGGCCCAGACUCCUGCGGGAGGCAGCAGUAGGGAAUCUUCCGCAAUGGACGAAAGUCUGACGGAGCAACGCCGCGUGAGUGAUGAAGGCUUUCGGGUCGUAAAACUCUGUUGUUAGGGAAGAACAAGUGCUAGAUGAAUAAGCUGACACCUUGACGGUACCUAACCAGAAAGCCGCGGCUAACUACGUGCCAGCCGCCGCAGUAA